GACGAACGCUGGCGGCGUGCCUAAUACAUGCAAGUAGAACGCUGAAGAGAGGAGCUUGCUCUUCUUGGAUGAGUUGCGAACGGGUGAGUAACGCGUAGGUAACCUGCCUUGUAGCGGGGGAUAACUAUUGGAAACGAUAGCUAAUACCGCAUAACAAUGGAUGACACAUGUCAUUUAUUUGAAAGGGGCAAUUGCUCCACUACAAGAUGGACCUGCGUUGUAUUAGCUAGUAGGUGAGGUAAUGGCUCACCUAGGCGACGAUACAUAGCCGACCUGAGAGGGUGAUCGGCCACACUGGGACUAAGACACGGCCCAGACUCCUACGGGAGGCAGCAGUAGGGAAUCUUCGGCAAUGGGGGCAACCCUGACCGAGCAACGCCGCGUGAGUGAAGAAGGGUUUCGGAUCGUAAAGCUCUGUUGUAAGUCAAGAACGGGUGUGAGAGUGGAAAGUUCACACUGUGACGGUAGCUUACCAGAAAGGGACGGCUAACUACGUG
Molecule: ribosomal RNA, 497 nt
Filed under: uncultured bacterium
Lineage: Bacteria
Description: partial 16S ribosomal RNA
Rfam family: Bacterial small subunit ribosomal RNA
Source: RNAcentral